RNAcentral lists this ribosomal RNA (733 nucleotides) under Bacillus thuringiensis. RNAcentral describes it as "bacterial SSU rRNA". It matches the Rfam family "Bacterial small subunit ribosomal RNA", at positions 46 to 760 of the family's 1533-position model. The record is from RNAcentral. Lineage: Bacteria; Bacillati; Bacillota; Bacilli; Caryophanales; Bacillaceae.
GCUAAUACAUGCAAGUCGAGCGAAUGGAUUAAGAGCUUGCUCUUAUGAAGUUAGCGGCGGACGGGUGAGUAACACGUGGGUAACCUGCCCAUAAGACUGGGAUAACUCCGGGAAACCGGGGCUAAUACCGGAUAACAUUUUGAACCGCAUGGUUCGAAAUUGAAAGGCGGCUUCGGCUGUCACUUAUGGAUGGACCCGCGUCGCAUUAGCUAGUUGGUGAGGUAACGGCUCACCAAGGCAACGAUGCGUAGCCGACCUGAGAGGGUGAUCGGCCACACUGGGACUGAGACACGGCCCAGACUCCUACGGGAGGCAGCAGUAGGGAAUCUUCCGCAAUGGACGAAAGUCUGACGGAGCAACGCCGCGUGAGUGAUGAAGGCUUUCGGGUCGUAAAACUCUGUUGUUAGGGAAGAACAAGUGCUAGUUGAAUAAGCUGGCACCUUGACGGUACCUAACCAGAAAGCCACGGCUAACUACGUGCCAGCAGCCGCGGUAAUACGUAGGUGGCAAGCGUUAUCCGGAAUUAUUGGGCGUAAAGCGCGCGCAGGUGGUUUCUUAAGUCUGAUGUGAAAGCCCACGGCUCAACCGUGGAGGGUCAUUGGAAACUGGGAGACUUGAGUGCAGAAGAGGAAAGUGGAAUUCCAUGUGUAGCGGUGAAAUGCGUAGAGAUAUGGAGGAACACCAGUGGCGAAGGCGACUUUCUGGUCUGUAACUGACACUGAGGCGCGAAAGC